RNAcentral lists this ribosomal RNA (467 nucleotides) under uncultured bacterium. RNAcentral's name for it is "partial 16S ribosomal RNA". It matches the Rfam family "Bacterial small subunit ribosomal RNA", at positions 29 to 507 of the family's 1533-position model. The record is from RNAcentral.
ACGAACUCUGGCGGCGUGCUUAACACCUGCAAGUCGAACGGAAAGGCCCUGCUUUUGUGGGGUGCUCGAGUGGCGAACGGGUGAGUAACACGUGAGUAACCUGCCCUUGACUUUGGGAUAACUUCAGGAAACUGGGGCUAAUACCGGAUAGGAGCUCCUGCUGCAUGGUGGGGGUUGGAAAGUUUCGGCGGUUGGGGAUGGACUCGCGGCUUAUCAGCUUGUUGGUGGGGUAGUGGCUUACCAAGGCUUUGACGGGUAGCCGGCCUGAGAGGGUGACCGGCCACAUUGGGACUGAGAUACGGCCCAGACUCCUACGGGAGGCAGCAGUGGGGAAUAUUGCACAAUGGGCGGAAGCCUGAUGCAGCAACGCCGCGUGCGGGAUGACGGCCUUCGGGUUGUAAACCGCUUUCGCCUGUGACGAAGCGUGAGUGACGGUAAUGGGUAAAGAAGCACCGGCUAACUACGUG